UCCUCGUUAGUAUAGUGGUGAGUAUCCCCGCCUGUCACGCGGGAGACCGGGGUUCGAUUCCAUGACGGGGAG
RNAcentral lists this transfer RNA (72 nucleotides) under Xiphophorus maculatus (southern platyfish). It matches the Rfam family "tRNA". Rfam says of the family: Transfer RNA (tRNA) molecules are approximately 80 nucleotides in length. Their secondary structure includes four short double-helical elements and three loops (D, anti-codon, and T loops). Further hydrogen bonds mediate the characteristic L-shaped molecular structure. tRNAs have two regions of fundamental functional importance: the anti-codon, which is responsible for specific mRNA codon recognition, and the 3' end, to which the tRNAs corresponding amino acid is attached (by aminoacyl-tRNA synthetases). tRNAs cope with the degeneracy of the genetic code in two manners: having more than one tRNA (with a specific anti-codon) for a particular amino acid; and 'wobble' base-pairing, i.e. permitting non-standard base-pairing at the 3rd anti-codon position. Lineage: Eukaryota; Metazoa; Chordata; Actinopteri; Cyprinodontiformes; Poeciliidae. The record is from Rfam by way of RNAcentral.